Molecule: ribosomal RNA, 200 nt
Filed under: uncultured bacterium
Lineage: Bacteria
Description: partial 16S ribosomal RNA
Rfam family: Bacterial small subunit ribosomal RNA
Source: RNAcentral
AGAGUUUGAUCCUGGCUCAGAGCGAACGCUGGCGGCAUGCUUAACACAUGCAAGUCGCACGGGCAGUUUCGGCUGUCAGUGGCGGACGGGUGAGUAACGCGUAGGUAUCUAUCAAUGGGUGGGGGACAACCACGGGAAACUGUGGCUAAUACCGCAUGACGACUGAGGUCCAAAGGCCGAAAGGUCGCCUGUUGAGGAGC